CUUAAUCUACACAGGAAUGCUGUCUGACCCUAGUGCAGCUGUAAGCAAGUGGGUCAGAUCUGCUGGGUAAAGAGACUGUAGGCUACGGUCGAUCUGCCUCUUCCUCCCCUACAGGCUUGACUAAAGUGAAAUGAUGGCCGAAAUCAUUGCUGUGAACAUCUCGGACACAUCCGCCACCUUCUUCCUGCCCCCAUCUCCUGUCCUUGAGGACUCUGGCUUUCCCCUGGCCUCGCUGGACAGUGAGGACUAUGUGUUUGUUGAGGCCAGGCACCCCAACAAGGUCCUGGAGGGCCUGAACAGCCUGCGUCUCAACAAUGCCUUCUGUGAUGUGACACUGUGCUGUGGGGGCAGGAGUUCCCUGUCACCGUAUCGUACUGGCUUCCUUUAGCUCCUACUUCCAGGCCAUGUUCUCCACAGACCUGAUGGAGUCCAGACAGGAGCGGGUGGCCAUCAACGGAGUGGAGUCCCAGAUGAUUGGCAUGCUGGUCAGCUACGCCUACACGGCUGAGGUGGUCAUCUCCAAGGCCAACGUGCAGGCCCUGCUGGCUGCGGCCAACCUCUUGGAUGUGAUGGCAGUGCGUGAAGCCUGCUGCCGCUUCAUGGAGCGCCAGAUGGAUGAGAUGAACUGUGUGGGCAUCCACUGCUUCGCUGAGGCCCACUCCUGUAGGGAGCUGGAGAAACACAGCAUGGACUACAUCCUCCAGCACUUCGGCAGUGUCUGCCAACAGGAGGAGUUCCUCUCUCUGUGUGCAGACAAGCUGACGGAGAUCAUCGCCAGCGACCACCUGAACGUAGCCAAGGAGGAGACUGUGUUCGAGGCCACCAUGCUGUGGCUGGACAAGAGCGCCACCCGCAGGCAGAGCUUUGAAAAGGUCUUGGAGCACAUCCGCCUGCCCCUGAUCAGCCCGUACUACAUCCACGAUGUGAUUGAGUCUCUGGAGGUGGUCCGGGAGUCCCAGCGCUGUCAGAGGCUCAUCUCUGAGGCCAAGGACUACCUGCUGCUACAGGACCGACGAGGAGAGUUCUACUGCCCCCGAGCACGCCCACGUAGGUCCACAGGGACAGCUGAGGUGAUUGUGACGGUGGGGGGAGAGGACGAUAAGGUGGUGCUGCGUAGCGUGGAGAGUUUUGACCCCCUUACCAGCCAGUGGAAGAGUCUGGCCUGCCUGCCCUUCGCUGUCAGUAAACAUGGCCUGGUGGUUUCAGGCUCCACUCUGUACCUGGCUGGAGGGGAGUUCCCUGAUGGCUCAGCCAGCAGAGAGAUGUGGCGCUAUGACCCCUGCUUCGACUCCUGGCUGGAGAUGGCCCCCAUGAACGUAGCUCGCUCAGAGCUAGGUUUGGUGAUGCUGGAUGGCUAUGUGUUUGCAGUGGGGGGCUGGGAGGGCCGUUCCCGCCUGGACUCUGUAGAGUGCUACAACCCCCACACCAACACUUGGCAGUUCAUGGAGUCAGUCAAGAUGGCCGUCACCAGCCCUGCUGUGGUGGCACUGGAUGGACUGCUCUAUGUCACAGGUGGUGCUGUUCUAGAGGAUGGUGACGGCACAGACCUGGCCCAGGUGUACAACCCUAAAACGUCUGUAUGGACUGAGGUGGCCCCCAUGCAGAUCGCUCGCUCCGGCUCUGCUGCCUGCACCCUGAAGGGGAAAAUCUACGUCAUAGGUGGCUGGCAUGCGUCCACAGAGAACACAGACAAGGUGGAGUGUUACGACCCCAAGAGUAACCAGUGGACCAUGUGUGCCCAUAUGAGGGAGAGGCGCUACCGGCCCGGUGUGGCCGUGGUGGACGGCAAGAUCUACGUGCUGGGUGGAGAGGAGGGCUGGGACAGGUACCACGACACCAUCGAGCGGUACUGUGAGGAGACAGACAGCUGGGAGAUCGUGGGGGAGAUGCCCACCAGCCGGAGCUGGCUGAGCUGUGUCUCUCUGCAGCUGAGGAAGGAUGCCCAUGGGGGCAGCCGCCCGGCACUGCCUCGGAGACCGAGUUCUCUGUGGACUGAGGGAGAACUCCAGACGGAGGUCCUUGUACCAUUCAUUUAUAUUGCUCCAGACUGCCACCUUUUGGAGAGCUCUGAGUAUGCAUCUCUGCCAAACAGUCAACCUGACCCUGGCUGUUCAGGUGCUGUACAGAAGUCACUCUGUGCCAGAGACAAUGCCAGAGGGCAGCUAACUACCUUAGUAGGGCUGGUAUUCUGUCUCAUCGUGAGUCUUGACCUUGCCAAGUGACUGCGCCUCAAGGCUUAACUCAUGGAGAAGGACAGUUGUGUGACUGCCUCAAUGGCAAGCCUGACAAAAGUGGUCUUUAUUUCACCAUGAAAGCCUGUUCUCUUACUCAAUGGCAUGGUUCCAUUCUGUUGCCAUGUCACUGUGUCCAUGGUAACGGUAUCAUUUAGGAUGGAUGACCCUCGUCACACACUUAUGGAACCCUCUCUUUUAAUGUUACGUGAACGUUUGGGGUCAGGGUGUUUCAUUAAACUGUCACCAAGAUGUUCUCUCCACAACCAUCACAGUCUAUUUUUGCAUUAUUUGUAUGUGACGUUUAGUAUUUAUUUGAUGUCUUGAGUUGAUGGCCCAUUUUAUUACAAUUGGAAGAUCAUUAUUUUUCCCGUUUAUAAAAGAUGCUCUUUAUUGGCCAAAGAAUCUAUUGUGAACCAGUAUUUAAGACUAAUUAGUGAACAAAAGCCAAACCUGUUAAGUGUUUUGUCAUGCAAAUUUGGAAGGUAUGUUCACAAUUGCCUUUUGACUGCCUGUUAUAUGGUUUAGUUUAUAUGUCUAAUUGGUAUGCUUAGUAAAUGUUGCUUUUGAGUAGUCAUUUUAAUUCUGUAAAAGUGGAAAUGUGAAUUUAAUAAAAGCACAUGGAUGCCAAUA
Molecule: RNA transcript, 2864 nt
Organism: Oncorhynchus gorbuscha (pink salmon)
Lineage: Eukaryota; Metazoa; Chordata; Actinopteri; Salmoniformes; Salmonidae
Gene name: kelch-like protein diablo
Exons: 11
Source: RefSeq, a predicted model, not a curated record